RNAcentral lists this unclassified non-coding RNA (406 nucleotides) under Hevea brasiliensis (rubber tree). Lineage: Eukaryota; Viridiplantae; Streptophyta; Magnoliopsida; Malpighiales; Euphorbiaceae. The record is from RNAcentral.
GAAAAUCUAUUCAUUUGUUUUUUAGGAAUAAUUGAGAAGUCUGGUUAUGCAUUUGAGUUUGGAAAUUUUGUUAGCUGUAUGUUAUGAGAGUGAUACCUCCAUGUGUAAUAAAAGCAUCGAGUGCUUGAACAAUACUCGUAACUCUGUUGAUAACCAGCAAAACCCUCACCAAGCUCUUCACUUGAUGGAUAUCCCAACAUCUGCCCCUUCCACUGGCUCCAACCUAGGUUCAUAUGAUGAAACCCCCCGUGUUAAGUUCUUGUGUAGCUUCUUAGGUAGCAUUAUGCCUCGACCUCAGGAUGGGAAAUUGCGUUAUGUGGGUGGAGAGACGAGAAUUGUGAGUUUGCCAAGGGAUAUUUGUUAUGAGGAAUUGAUGAGUAAAAUGAAGGAGUUGUAUGAAGGGGUG